AGAGUUUGAUCCUGGCUCAGGACGAACGCUGGCGGCGCGCUUAACACAUGCAAGUCGAACGGAGUUAUUUUCUUCACUCCGAGCUUUUUGCCAGUUAGCCGGAGCGGCAAUCGGUUUUGCCCAGCAUAAAAAGCAAAACCGAUUUAGGCUCAUAAAGUAAGACUAACACAGAGGGCAGAGAGUUGGGAGUGAAGAAAAUAACUUAGUGGCGAACGGGUGAGUAACGCGUGAGUAACCUGCCCUGGAGUGGGGGACAACAGUUGGAAACGACUGCUAAUACCGCAUAAGCCCACGGCCCGGCAUCGGGCUGAGGGAAAAGGAUUUAUUCGCUUCAGGAUGGACUCGCGUCCAAUUAGCUAGUUGGUGAGGUAACGGCCCACCAAGGCGACGAUUGGUAGCCGGACUGAGAGGUUGAACGGCCACAUUGGGACUGAGACACGGCCCAGACUCCUACGGGAGGCAGCAGUGGGGGAUAUUGCACAAUGGGGGAAACCCUGAUGCAGCGACGCCGCGUGGAGGAAGAAGGUUUUCGGAUUGUAAACUCCUGUCGUUAGGGACGAUAAUGACGGUACCUAACAAGAAAGCACCGGCUAACUACGUGCCAGCAGCCGCGGUAAAACGUAGGGUGCAAGCGUUGUCCGGAAUUACUGGGUGUAAAGGGAGCGCAGGCGGACCGGCAAGUUGGAAGUGAAAACUAUGGGCUCAACCCAUAAAUUGCUUUCAAAACUGCUGGCCUUGAGUAGUGCAGAGGUAGGUGGAAUUCCCGGUGUAGCGGUGGAAUGCGUAGAUAUCGGGAGGAACACCAGUGGCGAAGGCGACCUACUGGGCACCAACUGACGCUGAGGCUCGAAAGCAUGGGUAGCAAACAGGAUUAGAUACCCUGGUAGUCCAUGCCGUAAACGAUGAUUACUAGGUGUUGGAGGAUUGACCCCUUCAGUGCCGCAGUU
RNAcentral lists this ribosomal RNA (947 nucleotides) under uncultured bacterium. Its description in RNAcentral is "bacterial SSU rRNA". It matches the Rfam family "Bacterial small subunit ribosomal RNA", at positions 8 to 853 of the family's 1533-position model. The record is from RNAcentral.